This 646-nucleotide ribosomal RNA is filed under the name Staphylococcus haemolyticus. RNAcentral describes it as "partial 23S ribosomal RNA". It matches the Rfam family "Bacterial large subunit ribosomal RNA", at positions 13 to 655 of the family's 2925-position model. The record is from RNAcentral. Lineage: Bacteria; Bacillati; Bacillota; Bacilli; Caryophanales; Staphylococcaceae.
AAGGGCGCACGGUGGAUGCCUUGGCACUAGAAGCCGACGAAGGACGUUACUAACGACGAUAUGCUUUGGGUAGCUGUAAGUAAGCGUUGAUCCAGAGAUUUCCGAAUGGGGGAACCCAGCACGAGUUAUGUCGUGUUAUCGACAAGUGAAUUCAUAGCUUGUCAGAAGGCAGACCCGGAGAACUGAAACAUCUUAGUACCCGGAGGAAGAGAAAGAAAAAUCGAUUCCCUGAGUAGCGGCGAGCGAAACGGGAAGAGCCCAAACCAAUAAGCUUGCUUAUUGGGGUUGUAGGACACUCUAUACGGAGUUACAAAGGAAUAUAUUAGACGAAUCAUCUGGAAAGUUGAAUCAAAGAAGGUAAUAAUCCUGUAGUUGAAAAUAUAUUCUCUCUUGAGUGGAUCCUGAGUACGACGGAGCACGUGAAAUUCCGUCGGAAUCUGGGAGGACCAUCUCCUAAGGCUAAAUACUCUCUAGUGACCGAUAGUGAACCAGUACCGUGAGGGAAAGGUGAAAAGUACCCCGGAAGGGGAGUGAAAGAGAACUUGAAACCGUGUGCUUACAAGUAGUCAGAGCCCGUUAAUGGGUGAUGGCGUGCCUUUUGUAGAAUGAACCGGCGAGUUACGAUCUGAUGCAAGGUUAAGCAGGA